This 206-nucleotide long non-coding RNA is filed under the name Hordeum vulgare. RNAcentral's name for it is "long non-coding RNA (HVUL_LNC012700)". The record is from RNAcentral. Lineage: Eukaryota; Viridiplantae; Streptophyta; Magnoliopsida; Poales; Poaceae.
AAAAGUUUUAAAUAAAUUGGUAGGUUAGAAAAAAUUGUAGGGGAUGGGGUGGGUUUACCUAAAUGGAGGCGACAUUACUAACUCACCAUGACAUAUAUACAUGUAUGCGCCGAUUCAUAUAUAAUGCCCAGAACAAAUAAGAGGUUCAUCAUAGAAAAAGUGAAACAGAAAAAAUGGAGCAUAGCCAAAAAACAAAAACUAAAAAC